This 73-nucleotide small nucleolar RNA is filed under the name Brassica oleracea var. oleracea. Its description in RNAcentral is "Plant small nucleolar RNA R71". It matches the Rfam family "Plant small nucleolar RNA R71", at positions 28 to 100 of the family's 107-position model. From Rfam's summary of the family: R71 is a member of the C/D box family of snoRNAs containing the C (UGAUGA) and D (CUGA) box motifs. Multiple nearly identical copies of this snoRNA have been identified in Arabidopsis, and it is thought to function as a 2'-O-ribose methylation guide for 18S ribosomal RNA. Lineage: Eukaryota; Viridiplantae; Streptophyta; Magnoliopsida; Brassicales; Brassicaceae. The record is from Rfam by way of RNAcentral.
UAGCCUUUGAAUCUCUCCCAGGCUUCACUGAAUCCUUCCAAGUUCUUCUGUUGAAAGCUGGAAAUCUCAUUUC